Molecule: unclassified non-coding RNA, 331 nt
Filed under: soil metagenome
Description: partial contains 5.8S ribosomal RNA, internal transcribed spacer 2, and large subunit ribosomal RNA
Rfam family: 5.8S ribosomal RNA (bases 1-120)
Source: RNAcentral
GAUGAAGAACGUAGCGAAAUGCGAUACGUAAUGUGAAUUGCAGAUUUCAGUGAAUCAUCGAAUCUUUGAACGCACAUUGCGCCCGCUAGUAUUCUGGCGGGCAUGCCUGUUCGAGCGUCAUUUCAACCAUCAAGCCCUAGGCUUGCGUUGGAGCCCUGCGGCUGCCGCAGGCUCCCAAAUCCAGUGGCGGGCUCGUCGUCGUACCGAGUGCAGUAAACAUCCUCGCUCAGGGAACGUGACGGGUUCUUGCCGUGAACCCCCCACAUAUCAAGGUUGACCUCGGAUCAGGUAGGAAUACCCGCUGAACUUAAGCAUAUCAAUAAGCGGAGGA